Chiloscyllium plagiosum (whitespotted bambooshark) is the source of this 355-nucleotide long non-coding RNA. RefSeq lists it as uncharacterized. Lineage: Eukaryota; Metazoa; Chordata; Chondrichthyes; Orectolobiformes; Hemiscylliidae. The record is from RefSeq and is a predicted model, not a curated record.
CAAUCUGUGGGGGAUUGUCACCCCUCGGACAAUCUGGCCCAGUGUUGUCCUAUGCUGUGAUGAAGGAUGGUUGGAAUUAUAUGUUAUUUCUGGAUUCUGCACUGAAAUGAAAGAGAUGCAAGGAUUCUUUUGUAAUUGUUCCUUUCUCGACGGGAGUUUCUGUCUCUACAAGCCAGCAGAGAAACUAGUAACCCUGUCAGCAAGGAAAGGUCACAGCUCUACGGUUCAUAGCGAGCCUGCCACUGAGUUAAAGAUGACCUUUCUAAGGACAUUCGGGUUGAAGAGUGAGGAGAUACUGGCUACCGUUUGCAGGAAACCUGAGCACCCAGAGGAAACUCACGCAGACACGGGGAGA